Molecule: non-coding RNA, 569 nt
Organism: Acanthopagrus latus (yellowfin seabream)
Lineage: Eukaryota; Metazoa; Chordata; Actinopteri; Spariformes; Sparidae
Source: the annotation of a RefSeq genome assembly
AUGAUGAGAGUAAUCCAAGUCCCUGUUGGAGUCAGUCAGAGCAUUUCCAUAGAGAGCCACUUUGCAUCAGCAGCACCAUGCUCCAGUGCUCUGGGAGAGUUUAUAGUCCUGAGAGUUGAACACUGGAUGACUGACAGCUGUCCUUCAUGACAACAGAAGACACAGAAAUCCUCCUCAUCAAAAACAUGACUUUGACCUGCGUCCUCAUCUGGACUCUCCUCUGCUGCUGCUUCACAGAGUCCAGAGGUCAGAUCACAGUGACUCAGCCUGCAGCAGUGAGCUCUGCUCUGGGAGGCUCCGUCACCAUCAACUGUAGGACCAGUCAGAAUGUUUAUUCUUCUGGCAGCAACCACUAUUUAGCCUGGUACCAACAGAGAGAUGGAGAAACUCCUAAAGUUCUCAUUUACAGGGCUAGCAGUCGAGCAUCCGGGAUUCCAGAUCGUUUUACAGGCAGUGGAUCAAACUCUGCCUUCACUCUGACCAUCAGUGGAGUUCAGGCUGAAGAUGCAGCAGUUUACUACUGUCAGAGUUAUCACUACAUCAACAGUCAGUAUGUGUUCACACAGUGA